This is a long non-coding RNA of Lolium rigidum, 428 nucleotides long. RefSeq lists it as uncharacterized. The record is from RefSeq and is a predicted model, not a curated record. Lineage: Eukaryota; Viridiplantae; Streptophyta; Magnoliopsida; Poales; Poaceae. The transcript is spliced from 2 exons.
UCUUAUGAUUGAUAAAACAGGCAUUGGUGGUGGACAUGAUGCAGCGGAUCUUUUGCACCACUCAUAAGAUGAUUGUCUGGUUAAAUGUGCUAUUGUGAUGUACUAAUUAGCAGGUAUCUAGGAUCACAUUCCGGUGGCUGAGAAGCAGAAAUGGGUUGUGUUCUGUAGGUUCUUGCAUUGUGUACGUUGUGCUCCAUCCAGAAGUUAGCCGUCUUUGCUGGUCACUUGUGAAGUUUGACUUCAGGAAUUUGCCAUCUACUAUCUAAUUUCUUUACACAAUCAGUCAACUCGCAUGACGGAUUGACUUCCUUGGAUUAAUGAUUAGUUAAUUUGUGUUAUGCUUUCCAAACAAUCAUGUUGAGGCGGGUCACCUGUGAGUUGUGUUUCAGGUUGAGAUUCCAACAUCAAAUCUUUGCUUAUGUCUUGUA